This 494-nucleotide ribosomal RNA is filed under the name uncultured bacterium. Its description in RNAcentral is "partial 16S ribosomal RNA". It matches the Rfam family "Bacterial small subunit ribosomal RNA", at positions 28 to 507 of the family's 1533-position model. The record is from RNAcentral.
GACGAACGCUGGCGGCGCGCUUAACACAUGCAAGUCGAACGGAAAGGCCUGCUUUCCCUUGUGGAUUGCGGGUACUCGAGUGGCGAACGGGUGAGUAACACGUGAGUGAUCUGCCCCCAACUUGGGUAUAAGCCUGGGAAACUGGGUCUAAUUCCCGAUAGGACUGCAGGGUGGUGCCUGUGGUGGAAAACGAUUUUCUAGUGGUUGGGGAUGAGCUCGCGGCCUAUCAGCUUGUUGGUGGGGUAAUGGCCUACCAAGGCGGCGACGGGUAGCCGGCCUGAGAGGGUGGACGGCCACAUUGGGACUGAGAUACGGCCCAGACUCGUACGGGAGGCAGCAGUGGGGAAUAUUGCACAAUGGGCGGAAGCCUGAUGCAGCGACGCCGCGUGGGGGAUGACGGCCUUCGGGUUGUAAACUCCUUUCGACCGCGAGGAAGCCACCUGGUUGGAAGGGUGGUGACGGUAGUGGUAGAAGAAGCACCGGCUAACUACGUG